UUGGUUGAUUGGUCGCUGUAUUUCUAUACAGAGGAAAGUCCGGGCUUCAAAUAAGCAGAAUGCCGGGUUAAUGCCCGGCGUGUGGCAAUGUUUUGCUAUACAGGGAAAGCGCAACAGAAAGUAUACCGCCGGCUUUACAUAUGUCGGUAAGGGUGAAAAGGUGAGGUAAAAGCUCACCGUGCGUACAAACGUACGUAGCGUGGCAAGCCCCAUUCGAAGCAAGACCAAAUAGGGACGGUGAGAUUUUAUUAUCACGGGUGCUUAUUACCGAACCGUUCGGGUAGGUUGCUAGAAACUGUUGGUAACGGCAGUUCCAGAUAAAUGAUCAAUCAGAUUUUGCGGAUAUAAUUGCGGCGAGAAGCCGUGAGAAUUUGCAAUUUCGGACAGAACCCGGCUUAUAAACCAAUC
Molecule: RNase P RNA, 408 nt
Filed under: bovine gut metagenome
Description: Bacterial RNase P class A
Rfam family: Bacterial RNase P class A
About the family: Ribonuclease P (RNase P) is a ubiquitous endoribonuclease, found in archaea, bacteria and eukarya as well as chloroplasts and mitochondria.
Source: RNAcentral